This 599-nucleotide ribosomal RNA is filed under the name uncultured bacterium. RNAcentral describes it as "partial 16S ribosomal RNA". The record is from RNAcentral.
ACGGCUACCUUGUUACGACUUAGCCCCAGUCAUCGGUUUUGCCCUAGGGCGCUGCUCGCGCUCACGCACUUCAGGCACUCCCGACUCCCAUGGCUUGACGGGCGGUGUGUACAAGGCCCGGGAACGUAUUCACCGCGCCGUGGCUGAUGCGCGAUUACUAGCGAAUCCAGCUUCAUGGAGUCGGGUUGCAGACUCCAAUCCGAACUGAGACAGGCUUUCGGGUUCCGCUCCCUGUCGCCAGGUGGCUUCCCGCUGUACCUGCCAUUGUAACACGUGUGUCGCCCCGGACGUAAGGGCCGUGCUGAUUUGACGUCAUCCCCGCCUUCCUCGCAGCUUGCGCCGGCAGUCCCGCCAGAGUCCCCAGCUUUGCCUGUUGGCAACUGGCGGUAGGGGUUGCGCUCGUUAUGGCACUUAAGCCGACACCUCACGGCACGAGCUGACGACAACCAUGCAGCACCUCGUCGCAGGUCCGUAGACGGGCAUCCUUUCAGACACCCUUCCUGCAACGUUUGAGCCCGGGUAAGGUUCCUCGCGUAUCAUCGAAUUAAACCACAUGUUCCUCCGCUUGUGCGGGCCCCCGUCAAUUCCUUUGAGUUUCA